RNAcentral lists this ribosomal RNA (429 nucleotides) under Pseudomonadota bacterium. RNAcentral describes it as "Proteobacteria bacterium partial 16S ribosomal RNA". It matches the Rfam family "Bacterial small subunit ribosomal RNA", at positions 355 to 776 of the family's 1533-position model. The record is from RNAcentral. Lineage: Bacteria; Pseudomonadati; Pseudomonadota.
UGGGGAAUAUUGGACAAUGGGCGAAAGCCUGAUCCAGCCAUGCCGCGUGUGUGAAGAAGGUCUUCGGAUUGUAAAGCACUUUAAGUUGGGAGGAAGGGCAGUAAGCGAAUACCUUGCUGUUUUGACGUUACCGACAGAAUAAGCACCGGCUAACUCUGUGCCAGCAGCCGCGGUAAUACAGAGGGUGCAAGCGUUAAUCGGAAUUACUGGGCGUAAAGCGCGCGUAGGUGGUUCGUUAAGUUGAAUGUGAAAGCCCCGGGCUCAACCUGGGAACUGCAUCCAAAACUGGCGAGCUAGAGUAGGGCACAGGGUGGUGGAAUUUCCUGUGUAGCGGUGAAAUGCGUAGAUAUAGGAAGGAACACCAGUGGCGAAGGCGACCACCUGGGCUCAUACUGACACUGAGGUGCGAAAGCGUGGGGAGCAAACAGG